RNAcentral lists this ribosomal RNA (207 nucleotides) under uncultured bacterium. RNAcentral's name for it is "partial 16S ribosomal RNA". It matches the Rfam family "Bacterial small subunit ribosomal RNA", at positions 568 to 774 of the family's 1533-position model. The record is from RNAcentral.
UGCGUAGGUGGCAGUGCAAGUCAGAUGUGAAAGGCCGGGGCUCAACCCCGGAGCUGCAUUUGAAACUGCAUAGCUAGAGUACAGGAGAGGCAGGCGGAAUUCCUAGUGUAGCGGUGAAAUGCGUAGAUAUUAGGAGGAACACCGGUGGCGAAGGCGGGUCUCUGGGCCACUACUGACGCUGAGGAGCGAAAGCAUGGGGAGCGAACA